CACCGGGUUCCUAGCGUCCAUGUCCCCUCUAAAGCUUUUUCCACUAAGGUUACCUGCAACAAAAUAGUGGCAUCAUGAGUACUAAUUACUCAGUUAGUUCGGCGCCUAAUCUUGGAAAUUAAACACCCCAAAGUCCCCAACAGAAAAUAGAUCAACAAGCAAGCAAGCAAAACUAUUGAUGGAACAAUGGCAAACAAUCAAUCUAACAUGCAAU
This 214-nucleotide long non-coding RNA is filed under the name Arabidopsis lyrata. Its description in RNAcentral is "long non-coding RNA (ALYR_LNC003179)". The record is from RNAcentral. Lineage: Eukaryota; Viridiplantae; Streptophyta; Magnoliopsida; Brassicales; Brassicaceae.